Molecule: unclassified non-coding RNA, 324 nt
Filed under: Mycoplasmopsis primatum
Lineage: Bacteria; Bacillati; Mycoplasmatota; Mycoplasmoidales; Metamycoplasmataceae
Description: Mycoplasma primatum partial miscellaneous RNA
Source: RNAcentral
CCUCCUUUCUACGGAGUACAAACGUCUAUCGCUUUUUAGAGUAGACAUAACCCCAGCUAUUUACAGACCUGUUAUUUAAAUAAAUUAUGUCAUGGGCUUUUAAUAGGGUCGGAGCUUUAUAUCUAGUUUUGAGAGAGCAUUCUCUCUUUGUUCUUUGAAAACUGAAUAGUAAAAUAUUUUUCGAUAUUUACACCGCCACCCCAACUCCCAUCAAAAAUUUAAUGGGUAAUUUGUUUUGAUUCAUCGAGAAAAUCAUAUUAAUUAUGAUUCAUUGAAAUGUCUUAAAAUACACAUCUUAAACUAAACAAUAGGGCCAUACUACUU